Molecule: ribosomal RNA, 212 nt
Filed under: Clavicipitaceae sp.
Lineage: Eukaryota; Fungi; Ascomycota; Sordariomycetes; Hypocreales; Clavicipitaceae
Description: partial large subunit ribosomal RNA
Source: RNAcentral
AAGCGCUCAUGACCAGACUUGGGCUUGGUUGAUCAUCCAGGGUUCUCGCUGGUGCACUUUGCCGGGCUCAGGCCAGCAUCAGUUUGCUCCGGGGGAUAAAGGCUUUGGGAAUGUGGCUCCUCCGGGAGUGUUAUAGCCCAUUGCACAAUACCCUGAGGCGGACUGAGGUUCGCGCAUUUAUGCAAGGAUGCUGGUGUAAUGGUCAUCAGCGA